RNAcentral lists this long non-coding RNA (1179 nucleotides) under Mus spicilegus (steppe mouse). RNAcentral's name for it is "lncRNA (ENSMSIG00000011737.1)". Lineage: Eukaryota; Metazoa; Chordata; Mammalia; Rodentia; Muridae. The record is from RNAcentral.
CUCCCGGCCUGUGCACCAGGCUUACUGUCUUUGUUACCUCUUUAUUUCCACCCCUUAUUCCUAGCCCCUCCUUCCCCACUGCUGACAUAACAGCAUGAAAUUAAACCUAUUCCAGUCUGUGACAUCUGAUCCCUUUGACAUGACAUAGUACAACCUGUAGAGCCAGAGGUGGGGGCCAGGAAGCCCUGUUCUAGUCUCUCUCUGCACAACCUUGAGCCAGUCACAUCUGCCUGAACCUCAGUCUCCCACUCUGGACGUUGUCGGGGUGAUGGAGCAAGCAUUCAGUUAUUCUCUGCUGGAUUCUGAUGUGGUCUAAAGUCCACACUUUGUUGUGAAACACCGCAAUCUGUGAUGUACAGAACCUAUUACUGCGGCCACCCAGGAAUGCAGGGGGCAGGCCUUUGAGAAGAUGAAUCAGCGUGUGUUAGCUCAGGGCAGAGGGCCUGGCGGUGAGACGUGAGACCAGCCAAUGUCAUGGCGGUGGGGGAGUGGAUGUGAGCCAUCUGGGGCCCAGCAAACAGCAUGUUGAAAAAAACGAGGAACUCAAAGGCAGAUGAGCCUACCACGCUGGGAACGGUUGGGAGUACAUUGCUCAAGGGCUUGGACUGGAGGGGGUGGAGUUGAGGAGAUCACAGAGGACCUAGGAGUGUGUGUAUCGGAGAGAGAUAGGAAACCACUGACCAUUCAGCACACAUUCAGAAUUACUGCCUGUCCCAGGGAGGGAUCCACAGCUCCGGCACUUUGUCUGUUCAGCAUCUGGAAGAGCAUAGCUCGCUGUGAGCGGCUGACCCAGAAGACUGUAUCCCACCCAGCCAGCUCUCCUGCCUACUUGCCUCUGCCCCACACCAGGACACUUCAUACUGUCAGAACCACUGGGUGUGUGAGCUUGUGAGAGGGUGUGUGGGCACACACGUCCCUGUGUGGGGUGUGGAGGUCAGAGGGCAACUUGGAGGAAUUGGUUCUCUCCUUCCACCACUCGGGGCCCAGGAAUCAAGCUGAGGUUUCCAGGCUUGGCAGCCUCCCUUACCUGUUAAACCAGUGCUUCCCAGCCUUCCUAAUGCUGUGACCUCAUGUUGUGCGGACCCCCGCCCAUGACAUUAUCUCUGUUGGUAUUUUAUAACUGUAAUUUUGCUACUAUUAUGAAUCACAAUGUAAAUGUCUGUUUUCCGAUGGUCUCGG